RNAcentral lists this ribosomal RNA (429 nucleotides) under Chloroflexota bacterium. RNAcentral's name for it is "Chloroflexi bacterium partial 16S ribosomal RNA". It matches the Rfam family "Bacterial small subunit ribosomal RNA", at positions 355 to 776 of the family's 1533-position model. Lineage: Bacteria; Bacillati; Chloroflexota. The record is from RNAcentral. RNAcentral also lists the same sequence under 1 other name.
UAGGGAAUCUUCGGCAAUGGACGAAAGUCUGACCGAGCAACGCCGCGUGAGUGAAGAAGGUUUUCGGAUCGUAAAACUCUGUUGUUAGAGAAGAACAAGGACGUUAGUAACUGAACGUCCCCUGACGGUAUCUAACCAGAAAGCCACGGCUAACUACGUGCCAGCAGCCGCGGUAAUACGUAGGUGGCAAGCGUUGUCCGGAGUUAUUGGGCGUAAAGCGAGCGCAGGCGGUUUCUUAAGUCUGAUGUGAAAGCCCCCGGCUCAACCGGGGAGGGUCAUUGGAAACUGGGAGACUUGAGUGCAGAAGAGGAGAGUGGAAUUCCAUGUGUAGCGGUGAAAUGCGUAGAUAUAUGGAGGAACACCAGUGGCGAAGGCGGCUCUCUGGUCUGUAACUGACGCUGAGGCUCGAAAGCGUGGGGAGCAAACAGG